This 473-nucleotide ribosomal RNA is filed under the name uncultured bacterium. RNAcentral's name for it is "bacterial SSU rRNA". It matches the Rfam family "Bacterial small subunit ribosomal RNA", at positions 35 to 507 of the family's 1533-position model. The record is from RNAcentral.
UGGACGAACGGCUGGCGGCGUGGAUUAGGCAUGCAAGUCGGACGGUAGGGCUUUAUCGUAAGAUAGAGUUUGAGAGUGGCGAACGGGUGAGUAACACGUAGGAAUCUACCCUUAAGACGGGGACAACCCAGGGAAACUUGGGCUAAUACCGGAUGAGAGUGCGAGAGAUUGCAUUUAAAAGGAUGGCGAAAGUUGUCGCUUAGGGAUGAGCCUGCGGUCUAUUAGUUAGUUGGUGAGGUAAGAGCUCACCAAGGCGAUGAUAGAUAGGCGGCCUUAACGGGUGGUCGCCCACACUGGGAUUGAGAUACGGCCCAAACUCCUACGGGAGGCAGCAGUGAGGGAUAUUGCACAAUGGGCGAAAGCCUGAUGCAGCAACGCCGCGUGAGGGAUGACGGUCUUCGGAUUGUAAACCUCUGUCCUCAGUGAAGAAGAAAGUGACGGUAGCUGAGGAGGAAGCCACGGCUAACUACGUG